GCGGGCGUGGCGGAAUUGGCAGACGCGCUAGAUUUAGGUUCUAGUGGGAGACCGUGAGGGUUCAAGUCCCUCCGCCCGUA
RNAcentral lists this transfer RNA (80 nucleotides) under Lachnospiraceae bacterium. Its description in RNAcentral is "tRNA-Leu". It matches the Rfam family "tRNA". From Rfam's summary of the family: Transfer RNA (tRNA) molecules are approximately 80 nucleotides in length. Their secondary structure includes four short double-helical elements and three loops (D, anti-codon, and T loops). The record is from RNAcentral. Lineage: Bacteria; Bacillati; Bacillota; Clostridia; Lachnospirales; Lachnospiraceae. RNAcentral also lists the same sequence under 1 other name.